UGGGGAAUUUUGGACAAUGGGGGAAACCCUGAUCCAGCCAUCCCGCGUGUGCGAUGAAGGCCUUCGGGUUGUAAAGCACUUUUGGCAGGAAAGAAACGUCGCGGGUUAAUACCCCGCGAAACUGACGGUACCUGCAGAAUAAGCACCGGCUAACUACGUGCCAGCAGCCGCGGUAAUACGUAGGGUGCAAGCGUUAAUCGGAAUUACUGGGCGUAAAGCGUGCGCAGGCGGUUCGGAAAGAAAGAUGUGAAAUCCCAGGCUAUACUUUGGAACUGCAUUUUUUAACUACCGGGCUAGAGUGUGUCAGAGGGAGGUGGAAUUCCGCGUGUAGCAGUGAAAUGCGUAGAUAUGCGGAGGAACACCGAUGGCGAAGGCAGCCUCCUGGGAUAACACUGACGCUCAUGCACGAAAGCGUGGGGAGCAAACAGGAUUAGAUACCCUGGUAGUCCACGCCCUAAACGAUGUCAACUAGCUGUUGGGGGCCUUCGGGCCUUGGUAGCGCAGCUAACGCGUGAAGUUGACCGCCUGGGGGAGUACGGUCGCAAGAUUAAAACUCAAAUGAAUUGACGGGGGUCAUAGCUG
RNAcentral lists this ribosomal RNA (582 nucleotides) under uncultured bacterium. RNAcentral's name for it is "partial 16S ribosomal RNA". It matches the Rfam family "Bacterial small subunit ribosomal RNA", at positions 355 to 928 of the family's 1533-position model. The record is from RNAcentral.